UAAAUAGAUGUUUUAUGAAUUUCUGCUUCAGCAAUCCAUAUCCCUUAGAAAAAGUGCGAUGUCAAAAAUGUCUUGAAAUGGGUCAUUGGAGUUAUGAUUGUAAAGGAAAAAGAAAAUAUCUGUAUCGUACAUCUCGAACAGUUCAUUUGAAGAAAGCUAUUGAAUCAAAUAAAAUGACUAUGAAGUAAAAUUAACUCUAUAGACGAAUCAAUAAGAAAUAAAUCAAAAGCUCAGAAUGUUGAUAUAAACAGUCACAAUAUUAACAUCAGUGGUAACAACAGGAACGAAAAUAUCAGUAAUAGUAGCAGUUGUUUAGAUAGUGAGUCAUCUAAUUCUAAAAGUAUUUUAACUAGUAAUACUAGUUGUAUUGAUUCUAGCAGUACUAAUGAGCUUUUAAAUAAUUAAAAUAAAAAUAAACAAAAA
Molecule: long non-coding RNA, 423 nt
Organism: Ceratosolen solmsi marchali
Lineage: Eukaryota; Metazoa; Arthropoda; Insecta; Hymenoptera; Agaonidae
Exons: 2
Source: RefSeq, a predicted model, not a curated record